UACGGAGGGAGCUAGCGUUGUUCGGAAUUACUGGGCGUAAAGCGCACGUAGGCGGCUUUGUAAGUUAGAGGUGAAAGCCCGGGGCUCAACUCCGGAACUGCCUUUAAGACUGCAUCGCUUGAAUCCAGGAGAGGUGAGUGGAAUUCCGAGUGUAGAGGUGAAAUUCGUAGAUAUUCGGAAGAACACCAGUGGCGAAGGCGGCUCACUGGACUGGUAUUGACGCUGAGGUGCGAAAGCGUGGGGAGCAAACAGGG
This 254-nucleotide ribosomal RNA is filed under the name uncultured bacterium. Its description in RNAcentral is "partial 16S ribosomal RNA". It matches the Rfam family "Bacterial small subunit ribosomal RNA", at positions 524 to 777 of the family's 1533-position model. The record is from RNAcentral.